GACGAACGCUGGCGGCGUGCUUAACACAUGCAAGUCGAACGGAAAGGCCCUGCUUUUGUGGGGUGCUCGAGUGGCGAACGGGUGAGUAACACGUGAGUAACCUGCCCUUGACUUUGGGAUAACUUCAGGAAACUGGGGCUAAUACCGGAUAGGAGCCCCUGCUGCAUGGUGGGGGUUGGAAAGUUUCGGCGGUUGGGGAUGGACUCGCGGCUUAUCAGCUUGUUGGUGGGGUAGUGGCUUACCAAGGCUUUGACGGGUAGCCGGCCUGAGAGGGUGACCGGCCACAUUGGGACUGAGAUACGGCCCAGACUCCUACGGGAGGCAGCAGUGGGGAAUAUUGCACAAUGGGCGGAAGCCUGAUGCAGCAACGCCGCGUGCGGGAUGACGGCCUUCGGGUUGUAAACCGCCUUCGCCUGUGACGAAGCGUGAGUGACGGUAAUGGGUAAAGAAGCACCGGCUAACUACGUG
RNAcentral lists this ribosomal RNA (468 nucleotides) under uncultured bacterium. RNAcentral's name for it is "partial 16S ribosomal RNA". It matches the Rfam family "Bacterial small subunit ribosomal RNA", at positions 28 to 507 of the family's 1533-position model. The record is from RNAcentral.